Molecule: ribosomal RNA, 494 nt
Filed under: uncultured bacterium
Lineage: Bacteria
Description: partial 16S ribosomal RNA
Rfam family: Bacterial small subunit ribosomal RNA
Source: RNAcentral
GACGAACGCUGGCGGCGUGCUUAACACAUGCAAGUCGAACGGAAAGGCCUGCUUUCCCUUGUGGAUUGCGGGUGCUCGAGUGGCGAACGGGUGAGUAACACGUGAGUGAUCUGCCCCCAACUUGGGUAUAAGCCUGGGAAACUGGGUCUAAUUCCCGAUAGGACUGCAGGGUGGUGCCUGUGGUGGAAAACGAUUUUCUAGUGGUUGGGGAUGAGCUCGCGGCCUAUCAGCUUGUUGGUGGGGUAAUGGCCUACCAAGGCGGCGACGGGUAGCCGGCCUGAGAGGGUGGACGGCCACAUUGAGACUGGGAUACGGCCCAGACUCCUACGGGAGGCAGCAGUGGGGAAUAUUGCACAAUGGGCGGAAGCCUGAUGCAGCGACGCCGCGUGGGGGAUGACGGCCUUCGGGUUGUAAACUCCUUUCGACCGCGAGGAAGCCACCUGGUUGGAAGGGUGGUGACGGUAGUGGUAGAAGAAGCACCGGCUAACUACGUG